UCUGUAGCCUUCGUGGCUCAUCAGUGGUUGAGAAACGUGGUUUUAAAAUAUAUUUUAUUCCCUGUUAAAUCAGCUUUAAAAGACAAGAAAAAAAAGAAACGUCUAUUCCAUCGCAUACGCUUGGUUGGAAAGGGCAACUUAUACCAAGUCAAUGCACACCAACAGAGAGGAUCCUUCUGCAAAUGUUGGGGGAGUUGCAGAGCCAGGUCCAACACCUGACAGGGAUUGUUACCCAAAGACCUCCCUUUUGGGGUAACAGUC
Paramormyrops kingsleyae is the source of this 261-nucleotide non-coding RNA. The record is from RefSeq and is a predicted model, not a curated record. Lineage: Eukaryota; Metazoa; Chordata; Actinopteri; Osteoglossiformes; Mormyridae.